GAUGAAGAACGUAGCGAAAUGCGAUACUUGGUGUGAAUUGCAGAAUCCCGUGAACCAUCGAGUCUUUGAACGCAAGUUGCGCCCGAAGCCAUUAGGCCGAGGGCACGCCUGCCUGGGCGUCACACGUCGUUGCCCCCCCAUCUACUCCUUCGGGAUUGCGGGGGGCGGAUGAUGGCCUCCCGUGCGCCUCGCCGCGCGGUUGGCAUAAAUGCCAAGUCCUCGGCGACGCACGCCACGACAAUCGGUGGUUGCGAAACCUCGGUUGCCCGUCGUGUGCGGUCGUCGCGCAUCGAGGGCACGAAAAAAUUGCCGGGUUCCGGCUCGGCUUUCAACGCGACCCCAGGUCAGGCGGGGUUACCCGCUGAAUUUAAGCAUAUCAAUAAGCGGAGGA
Molecule: unclassified non-coding RNA, 391 nt
Filed under: soil metagenome
Description: partial contains 5.8S ribosomal RNA, internal transcribed spacer 2, and large subunit ribosomal RNA
Rfam family: 5.8S ribosomal RNA (bases 1-122)
Source: RNAcentral